GUGGAUUAGAUACCCUAGUAGUCCACGCUGUAAACGAUGAUCACUCGUUGUUUGCGAUACACCGCAAGUGACCAAGCGAAAGCGAUAAGUGAUCCACCUGGGGAGUACGUUCGCAAGAAUGAAACUCAAAGGAAUUGACGGGGGCCCGCACAAGCGGAGGAACAUGUGGUUUAAUUCGAUGAUACGCGAGGAACCUUACCUGUGUUUAAAUGGGGAGUGACAGGCUUGGAAACAGGCCCUUCUUCGGACACUCUUCAAGGUGCUGCAUGGUUGUCGUCAGCU
This 282-nucleotide ribosomal RNA is filed under the name uncultured bacterium. RNAcentral's name for it is "partial 16S ribosomal RNA". It matches the Rfam family "Bacterial small subunit ribosomal RNA", at positions 773 to 1060 of the family's 1533-position model. The record is from RNAcentral.